GGACUACCGGGGUAUCUAAUCCUGUUUGCUCCCCGAGCUGUCGCGCCUGAGCGUCAGCCGUCGGCCAGGGCACUGCCUUCGCCAUUGGUGUUCUUCCGGAUCUCUACGCAUUUCACCGCUCCACCCGGAGUUCCAUGCCCCUCUCCGACGCUCAAGCCAUCCCGUUUGCCUGGACCUCUCCCGGUUAAGCCGGGAGCUUUCACCAGACACGCGAAUGGCCGCCUGCGCGCCCUUUACGCCCAAUAAGUCCGGACAACGCUUGUCUCCUACGUAUUACCGCGGCGGCUGGCAC
RNAcentral lists this ribosomal RNA (292 nucleotides) under uncultured bacterium. Its description in RNAcentral is "partial 16S ribosomal RNA". The record is from RNAcentral.